Felis catus (domestic cat) is the source of this 1098-nucleotide long non-coding RNA. RefSeq lists it as uncharacterized. The record is from RefSeq and is a predicted model, not a curated record. Lineage: Eukaryota; Metazoa; Chordata; Mammalia; Carnivora; Felidae. The transcript has 3 exons.
CAUCAUACUUGGCUACCAAGGUGAGGUCUCUCAUGGAAUAGCAUUGCAUAUGGUUACCCAGGAGAUUAGGUAGACUUUGGAUAGCACCACACCAGCUUGCCAAGGAGAUGAGGCAGAUAAGAGUGCAGCAUCCAGUGUGGUCUUUAAAUGAUAACAAAGUCAUUUAAGUGUAACUUAAAAUGUAAUCCUCAUAUAGAGAGAUUUACUACAUUGUGUCAGCACUAGGGGAGCAGAAAGAAGCCAGGUCUGGAGAUCAGGAUGCUGAGGAAUGGCAAGGUGAGUUCAUGGUAACCAUACACGGUUAUCAAGGAGAGGAUACCUCCUAGGCAGCAAUCAAGGAGAUGAUGGAGUGAAAUGGAAUAUCGUGCAUGGUUUUUAAGAAAAUCGUCCCACAGCUACAAGUAAAAAAAAAAAAAAAAGACGACUAUGAUAACUUCCUGUCUGAAGUGCAAAAACAGCAAAUAGUAGUCUUGAUGACAUGCGAACGGCUGGCUAAAUAACUGGGCCAAGAUCAUGUGUAUCAUUUUCACAUGUUCUGUUAAUUCUACCUGGAUUCAUGACAAGAGACCACAGCCAACCAACUAACAAGGCACACUUUGGACGAGGAGAAGAUCAGAGACAGACAUUUAGGAUGGGUAGUACAAAUCUGCCACGAUAGUAGGAAAAAUCUCAAAGUGCCUGCUUCGCUGACUGGAGAGGAAGUGUCCUCUUUUCAUAAGAAGGUCAUCAAAUGAUAAGGAGCUUGAUCUAAAACUGUAACGCCAGCACGUGAAAAGUACACUAAGGUUAUAAUACAUUGGAUGUGUAAUCAAAUAAUAAUUUCAGAGCAUAUUUCUUAGCAAAAGAAAGUUAAAGGCAGGGAGACGUUGUGCUGAGCCUCAUUGAGACUGCCUCUAAUCAAAGUUCAACAAAUGAACAGAGAGAAUAAAGAAAAAUAACAUGCCUUUUAUUUUUUUUAAAGAUCUUGUAAUAAUUAACAUUGUUUGAUCUGAUUCAAUUAACAUUGUGUUACUACAUAGUUUCUUUAAACUCGGGAGAUCAGAAACAACAUUUAAAAAUGCCAACUAUCCUCUCUGUCUCAAAAAUAAAUAAAACAUU